GUCAGUUUUUAAAAGAUUAAAACGCUUAGAAUAACGUCAUAAUAUAUAUACACAUAUAGUUAAGCAGCUCACAAGAAAGCAGUAUUAGGUACCAAAAAAAAGAUAAAGUGUUUAAAGUAUAACUAAAUAUAUAUACACAAAUUACAAUACACAUUGACUUGUGGAGUGCAGACGUGUUUUCUCUCUGCUUCCUCCUUUACUUGUUUGGCAGGGUCUGUGAGCAGCCUGAUUUGCUAUUUUGGAAAAUUUUUCACCAUGGAGCCAAUCAACUGGUCACUCAGCACAUUGGACAAAGUUUUUUCACAAAGAAAAGAAUCUCCGGAAGAACUACUCUGCCCCUCUGGGACUUUUGCCUUUGGUAACGUGCGGGAUGUUUGGGAGUCCUGGUGCCCCGUGUGUCUGGAACCACUGUCCAUUGAGGAUGGAGAGGAUCUAUUCAUAUUUUGGACUUUGAUAACAGGGCUACUCAUAAUUGGAUUAAGUGGUGCCCUGCUUUAUCGGAAGAUUGGAAAAUCUGAGGUUGCCUCAUUGGCCCGUCCGCCGACCACAGAGGAAAAAGUGCUUCUGGGGUCUAUGGGCACCUGACUAACGGAAUUACAUCAGAGAACAGCCUGGAUCAAUGGACUGAUCAGUAACAUCUCAGCCCAUCUGGGAGAAGACAGGUGGGAAACAUCCACAGACAUACUGCGUACUUUGUGAGAACGGUGACAGCCUUGUCUGUCAGCCUCAAGGAAAUGUUGCGUGAUUAAUGGACCCGAAGGAGGCAAUGGAGCCCUGGGUGUCAGGACUCGAGGCAGGCGGCGGACCCACAUGCACAGCACCGAGGCAGGAUAAUGAUUAAACACGGGUUUAUUGCAAUAAGCAGAGUAAGGCGGUCCAGGUCAUACACAAAAGAUCUCGGACUUAAACACAGACGGGGAGCAAGCGAUCUCAGGUCCAGUAGACAGGCAGGGUUCGUACACAGGAGGUCACGGUAAAAGUACAGGCAGGGAUCAGGCAAAAACUCACGGUCGGUUAGUUAGUCCAGGGUCAGGCAGGAUACAUGGUGCAAGGCAAAACAGGAACAAAACACGAGGAAACUUCAAGGCGCUCAGGAAACUCACGAAACUCAGGAGACACAAGAAACUCGGGGACUCAGGAAACUCAGGAAACUCGGAAAACUCAGGAGACACAAGAUACUCGGAACUCUCCAGAAACACGGGACACUAAUGAAACUCGACAAUCUGGCAAAGGACUAUGGAACAGGUGGUGGCUAAAUACACAGUGAUUACAUAAUUACUGACAGGUGUGGAUACUGAGAACCGGUAAGUGGACAGCUGACUGGAACAGGAAGUUAACAAAAUAAAACAGGACAUGGCGUGACGACAGGAAACAACUAGAAACGAAACCCAAAUCAUGACACUGGGUCCUGACAGGUCAAAUUCUUGAUCUAGACAAAGAAGUCAUAGAUCCAAAUGCAUUACAUUGGAUGUAUUAAUUCUAUUCCUCUCCCCUUCCCCCUCCCUUUCCCAGUUUCGAUCUAGCUUAACAGCUGUGCUCCUAUCUUCUCAUCAUUGUGACUCCCUUCAGGGACAACUGUAAACAUCUUGGUUUGCCUUGGUCAUACAACUACAAACAUUCACUAUACUGAUGCAGAUACACCCCCUCCCCUUCUCCCCAAGACCAGUCUCACCGUCUGCUCAGCGACAUUAAGUGUUGUUCCUGGGAUCUGUUGGAGCCACUGUCCCAACUUGGGAGUUGUAGCCCCUAGUGUUCUUAUUACCACAGGUAUCACCUGUGCCCUAAGUAUUUCUCGAUCUUUUCAUGCUCCUUUCUUCCUGAUGUUGCUAUCACCUGGGGUUGCUACAUCUAUCACUACAGCCUUGUUCUCUUGUUUCUCCACUACUGUGUUGAGUUGGUUGACCAUUGCCAGUUUGUCAGUCUGUAUCUGAAACUCCCAUAGGAUCUUAGCUCUUUUAUUUAGCCCUGGUUCCCGGGCGACGUUCAAGUUGGUGUGACUCGUAUGUUCUCACUGCGUAAAGAGGUAGGCAGAUAAGGGCCCAGACUGGCUUUUUUGUUGCUAAUCCAACCGGGAUACGAGCACUGCCACAGUACUAUCCAGUCUGCUGUUAUAUAUAUAUAGAGAGAUUAAUUGUGGUUAAUUGUCUAAGUGAACGCUGGUGCUAUUGGCUGCUACUGCUCACUUGAAUCACCAGAGUCUGUACAUCAACGUGUUUCUCUACUGCCUCAAAAUGUUGUUCACUAAAACCUAGUUUUGGUCGGUGCUCUUUUGGGCCACAACUCUUCAUCUACCCGUCAAUCUACCAGUCAAUGGAAGAGGUCUAGCCCAGUUACUGUGAGAAAUGGAAAGUGACACCGCUGGCUAUUCCUCCUUCAAACAUUUUUGAAUCCAGGGUAAUGCAACCAUCUGGACCCACCCCCACUAUCAUUGCCACAAUAUAUCGCCCACCCUAAACCUAAUAAGGAGUUAUUAAAAGACUAAUAGUAUUCCUGACUCACCUCUCCACACUCUCCUCCAAUGUUGUACUUCUGGGGGACUUCAACAUCCACAUUGACAAUGCUGCCUUGCUGACUGCAAGGUUGAAGACGUUCCCUUGUCUGACCAUAUGCUCAUAACUUUUAGUGUUAACCUGUCAUUAUCGAAAACCAUCACACUGCGGACCAUAGCCUAACAUAACAUUAACAACAUUAAUAUGGAAAUGCUUUAACUGUGUCUCUAAUAUAGACAACUUUUCCACUCCUGAUAAGUAAUCUCUCUCUACAAUAAUAGUUACACAGUCUCCUAAAUACCCUGGCUCCACUCAAGACUACCAUGGCUCAGCGUGAGCGAGCAGGAGUGCAGGACCCAAACGCACAGCUUGGGAGACAGGACUUAAAGCAAACAGGGUUUAUUGGUUUUAAAACCAAGCGGCAGGCAAAAACGGAAUCAAGCAGGCAAUUGUCAAAACCCGUAGUCAAAAGAUCCUGCAGAGGUACAAGCAGGGACAAGGCAAAAACAUGGUCAAGGUACAGGCACGAGUCAAAAAAACAUGGACUUAUUAGAAUUUACUGGAAGACUGACAAACCAGGUGCUUGAACAAAGGCAAACAAGAGUGUUGAGUAUUGGUGCUCACAUGCCGGAGAGUAAUUACUGAUCGGAAACAGCUGGUGAUCACAUGACUGAAAAGCAAAGGUGAACUAAGCAUGACAAGACAGAACAAUAGGAACAGGAACAAUCCCGGUUCAUGACAAAAACAAAAUCUGACAGCUUAACCCGUUCUUCUAGGUACACUUCUACUUUCAGAUUGCUUAAAGCUAAAGGGCGUCAACUUGAACGACUUUAUAGAAGGACAGGUCUCACUGUAAGUAAAGAUCUAUAUUAUAAUCAUAUCUCUUACUAUAAAAACUGUAUAACACAAGCUCAAUCCAAAUACUAAUUUGCUUUAAUUACUUCAAAUGCUGGAGAUUCAAAAAUUCUCUUUUCUCUGCUCAGAAAUAAUUGUAAACAAUUUCAUGUUUAAAUGUAGAACGGGGGGCAGAGCUUUUAGCUACCAAGCUCCUCUCCUCUUGACCCAGCUACCUCUUUAGGUUUGAGAAGCUGACACACUCUCCACCUUUAAGAUUAGGCUUAAAACCUUCCUUUUUGAUAAAGCUUAUAGUUAGAGAUGGUUCAGGUCACUGGCAAUGAUUGUUAGUCACAGGAACCAUCUCCUAGUUAAGCUGCAAUAGAUAUAGACUGCUGGGGGACUUAAUUCAUACACUGAGCUCCUCUGUUUUCUUCUACCUCUUCUGUCCAAUAACCUCCCAUCAUUGUCCUAUGUUUAACUAACCUUGUCUCUUUCUCUCCAGUAGUUGUGCUUCUCUCUCUCUCUCUCUCUCUCUCUCUCUCUCUCUCUCUCUCUCUCUCUCCUCCACUCUGUCCUCACCUAUAGGUACAUGUAUCAUUGGACUCAAAGUUUGGUGUCUGUGAUGGGCAGCUGCGGAUCCAACCAUCCUGCCUGCAUCCAGUCCCUGGUCCUACCAUCCUGCCUGUGCUCUGUUGUUGCUGGUUGUUGCUUGUUGUUGUGCUUUUCUCUCUCUCUAUCCUGUUACCCCAACUGGUCAAGGCAGAUGGCCGCCCACAUCCAGCCUGGUUCUGCUGGAGGUUUCUUCCUCGUUUGAGAGGGAGUUUUUCCUCUCCACUGUUGCUGUCAAAUUAAAUGCUUGCUGUAUGUGGGAUUUGUUGGAUUUAGUUGUGUGAGGUUUUAAACCUUACUUUGUAAAGUGCCUUGAGAUAACUUUGUUGUGAUUUGGCGCUAUAUAAAUAAAAUUGAAUUGAAUUGAAUCGAAUAGGAACAUGAUAGUUGAUGUGACUCAUUGGAGUUGACUCAUUUGAAGUGACAUAUUCAUCCAGCUGCAGCCAGGUUUCAGUGAGACAGAACAGAUCUAUGUGAUGGUCAGUUAUCAAGUCAUGUAUUAACAAGGAUUCAGGUGAGAGAGAUGUGAUAUUUAAUAAACCACACUUUAUUAACUUACUGUUACUUUGUUCUGUAAGAGGAACUGUUUUGAUGUUUAUUAAAUUCUGGUAAGUCACUCUUGUUUGAUUUGUGUGUGACUUGUACAGUUUAGGUGGUCGGGGAGCAGACACAGUCUCUAUGCGAUAACUAAGACUAAGAGUGGGUGGCGGCUGUAGAGAACGUGCAGAGAGGCGUGUAAGACUGCGACUCUGCGUCCUGGGCUCCACUCUGAGUUGUCACGGAGUGGGGAGACUAAGCAACAGAGAGCAGAGAGGCUCCGCCCAAUGUGGGAUGGACGCUGUCUCUUCUAAUCAGCCCAGGUUUUCCCCCAAAAGUGCUCCAAUUAGUCGAUUUAGUCCAAUUAUUACUCCAAUUAAAGACCAAAGUCCAUUUAUUUGGUAAUGUAUAUGAUAUUUGUUGUAUUUUAUGUAUGUUUUAACUGUAUGGUGACCUUGAGUGCCAUGAAAGGCAUCUAAAAAUAAAAUGUAUUAUUAUUAUUGUUAUUAAUUGUCGUCAGGUAAUAAGAUGGCCCUCUCUGUCACAUACACAAAAUGUGACUCACUAUUUUCCUUUAUUUACAGGUAGCCCUGUCCAAAAAUCUUUCUCUCUUUCAUUGCUCAUUUUAAUCUAUUUUGUUUAGGUCCACUUUUACAACCCAAAAAUGCAGUUGUGGAAAACUGAAGCGACAAUAUAACCAUACCAUAUUUCACAGAGGCGGAGUUGGAGGUUUUAAUGCAGGCAUAUGAGCUGAUUAUUGUAAGAAAAAGCAAUACAGCUGCAUCAGCGAAGGACCGGGAGUGGGCGAGUAAAUGCGAAAAACUCCAGGUCAAAAUGAAACACAAAACCACCCCUACCCCUCACCCCAUCUGAGGAGUUCGCCAGUGGUUGAUGGCAUUCUUGGGAGCACUUCAUUACACACUACCUCCCACAACAUGAGUAACUUAGUGAAAUGAUGAAGAGACCACUUCUGCUGUGACAGAAUUUAACAGUGCUGCUAGAUCCACAGAGGUCUACCAUAUACAGUAACACAUAACCCAUUUUAACAUUAGGUAGGAGUAAAAGUGUCAUUGUCCUUUCACAAAACAUACCUGGGGACUUCCAUGCAGAUGAGGGUCCAUCUACCUUAUCACUCAAUCUACACAGUUUGCCAGCAAAUGAGCUAUAGAAGGUCCAUCUUCAUCAACAAAUCAAAAAGAGUGACUUUAAGAUGGACCUUAUACAGCUCAAAAUAGAAAAGUGACUGGCUAUUAAAAAGGCUAAACUCGAAAGAAAAAUACUGGAGCAUCGCCUUGAGGACAUAAAAGAACAAUGCUUUGGUGCAGAAACGUUUUUAAAGUGAUUCUGACACAUCAUGUGUCUUAAGAGUCUUCCAUCUCUGUGGUCUACUUGGUUCACUACUGGAUCCUCUUGCUCAUCUUCAGUGGGACAAGGA
Betta splendens (Siamese fighting fish) is the source of this 5907-nucleotide long non-coding RNA. RefSeq lists it as uncharacterized. The transcript is spliced from 5 exons. NCBI's taxonomy places the organism in Eukaryota, Metazoa, Chordata, Actinopteri, Anabantiformes, Osphronemidae. The record is from RefSeq and is a predicted model, not a curated record.